CAAUAGCGUAUAUUAAAGUUGUUGCGGUUAAAAAGCUCGUAGUUGGAUUUCUGCUGAGAACGACCGGUCCGCCCUCUGGGUGUGUAUCUGGCUCUUUCUUGGCAUCUUCUUGGUGAACGUUGCUGCACUUGACUGUGUGGAGCGCUACCCAGGACUUUUACUUUGAGGAAAUUAGAGUGUUUCAAGCAGGCAUACGCCUUGAAUACAUUAGCAUGGAAUAAUAAGAUAGGACCUCGGUUCUAUUUUGUUGGUUUCUAGAGCUGAGGUAAUGAUUAAUAGGGAUAGUUGGGGGCAUUCGUAUUUAACUGUCAGAGGUGAACUUCUUGGAUUUGUUAAAGACGGACUACUGCGAAAGCAUUUGCCAAGGAUGUUUUCAUUGA
RNAcentral lists this ribosomal RNA (380 nucleotides) under uncultured eukaryote. Its description in RNAcentral is "partial 18S ribosomal RNA". It matches the Rfam family "Eukaryotic small subunit ribosomal RNA", at positions 592 to 976 of the family's 1831-position model. The record is from RNAcentral.